UUGCUUUGGCAGCACAUAUACUAAAAAAUUGGAAUGAUACAGAGAUUAGCACGGCCCCUGCACAAGAAUGACACACAAAUUCGUGAAACAUUCCAUAUUUUU
Molecule: small nuclear RNA, 102 nt
Organism: Trichosurus vulpecula (common brushtail)
Lineage: Eukaryota; Metazoa; Chordata; Mammalia; Diprotodontia; Phalangeridae
Source: RefSeq, a predicted model, not a curated record